RNAcentral lists this transfer RNA (63 nucleotides) under Curculionoidea sp. 26 KM-2017. RNAcentral describes it as "tRNA-Arg". Lineage: Eukaryota; Metazoa; Arthropoda; Insecta; Coleoptera. The record is from RNAcentral.
UAAUAAGAAGCAAAUUAUUGCAUUUAGUUUCGACCUAAAAAUUUGACAUCAAGUCCUUAUUUU